Non-coding RNA from Mycena latifolia, 92 nucleotides. The record is from the annotation of a GenBank genome assembly. Lineage: Eukaryota; Fungi; Basidiomycota; Agaricomycetes; Agaricales; Mycenaceae.
GGGGACGUAGUGUACGGUGCAACGCUGCAUUUUAUAAAAGACGCUAUAUCAGUUCUAUGCAGCAGGCUGGGGUUCGACACCCCGCGUCCCCA